Molecule: small nuclear RNA, 107 nt
Organism: Callithrix jacchus (white-tufted-ear marmoset)
Lineage: Eukaryota; Metazoa; Chordata; Mammalia; Primates; Cebidae
Source: Ensembl
GUGCUCACUUCGGCAGCACAUAUACUAAAAUUAGAACGAUACAGAGAAGAUUGGCGUGGCCUCUGCACAAGCAUAACAUGCAAAUUCUUGAAGUAGUCCAUAUUUUA